AGCGUAACAAGGUUUCCGUAGGUGAACCUGCGGAAGGAUCAUUAAAGAAAUAUUGAGGAGUCUGUGGGCUGUUCUGGGGAGGUGUCUCUGGCCUGCGCUUAAGUGCGCGGCGAGGGCAGCUUUCUGCUAAGGAGCGGUUUGCAAUUAUGGCUUUUUCAACUUACACACAGUGGAGUAUUCUUACUUUAUUGUUCUUUUUUCUUUGGGAGGCGACGCAAGUCCCUCCCGGGAGAAGCAAACACAAACAAUUAUUUUUAUUAUAAAACAUGUCAAAACCAAUUCUCUGUUGAGAAAUAAUUUUAAAACUUUCAACAAUGGAUCUCUUGGUUCUCGCAUCGAUGAAGAACGCAGCGAAAUGCGAUACGUAAUGUGAAUUGCAGAAUUCCGUGAAUCAUCGAAUCUUUGAACGCACAUUGCGCCCUCUGGUAUUCCAGGGGGCAUGCCUGUUUGAGCGUCAUUUCCUUCUCAAACACUCUGUUUGGUAGUGAGUGAUACUCUCUUUGAGUUAGCUUGAAAUUGUGCUGUGUCUGCCGGCAAACAAAGACCUUUAAGUUUGACCUCAAAUCAGGUAGGAUUACCCGCUGAACUUAAGCAUAUCAAUA
This 602-nucleotide ribosomal RNA is filed under the name [Candida] sp. TCJ249. RNAcentral's name for it is "eukaryotic LSU rRNA". The stretch from base 304 to 457 matches the Rfam family "5.8S ribosomal RNA". The record is from RNAcentral. Lineage: Eukaryota; Fungi; Ascomycota; Saccharomycetes; Saccharomycetales.